UAUGUAUAUAUAUAUAUAUGUGAAAUAUUUUAUUGUGAGAUUAUGUGUCAAUUAUGGCGCUGCUCUGUUUGAACAUUCAUAUGGAUAUAUGUGCCUACGUAUGCGUACAUGCGGAUGCUUGUAUGUUCGUUUGGACAGAGGCAUUGUAAAGUUGACUUGGCCAACAUGUAUCCAUACGUGAUCGCCACUGUAUAUAAAACAAAUCCGGCUUGAAGGACCAAAUGUUGAAGUGAUGGCGUCGCCGAUAAGUAAAAAGACCGGGUUGUAGUUUCCUCGUCUUUAUUUGUAGGAUGGUAGCUGUUCAGCUCGUAUAAAAGUGUGUAACAUAUAUGCCAGAAGAGGCAAGCGCCUAGUGCUGGGGAGACGAAGUCCUCAGCGGAGCGCUAAGUAACAGAGUGCUGUUAAUAACAUAACAUUGUGUGGUGCGGGAGGAGCAAUUCUUGUUAA
Molecule: small RNA, 447 nt
Filed under: Drosophila mojavensis
Lineage: Eukaryota; Metazoa; Arthropoda; Insecta; Diptera; Drosophilidae
Description: GI26064
Source: RNAcentral